GAUGAACGCUGGCGGCGUGCUUAACACAUGCAAGUCGAACGGUGAAGGCGGAGCUUGCUCUGCUGGAUCAGUGGCGAACGGGUGAGCAACACGUGAGCAAUCUGCCCCUGACUCUGGGAUAAGCGCUGGAAACGGCGUCUAAUACUGGAUACGAGCUGCGAAGGCAUCUUCAGCAGCUGGAAAGAAUUUCGGUCAGGGAUGAGCUCGCGGCCUAUCAGCUUGUUGGUGAGGUAAUGGCUCACCAAGGCGUCGACGGGUAGCCGGCCUGAGAGGGUGACCGGCCACACUGGGACUGAGACACGGCCCAGACUCCUACGGGAGGCAGCAGUGGGGAAUAUUGCACAAUGGGCGAAAGCCUGAUGCAGCAACGCCGCGUGAGGGACGACGGCCUUCGGGUUGUAAACCUCUUUUAGCAGGGAAGAAGCGAAAGUGACGGUACCUGCAGAAAAAGCGCCGGCUAACUACGU
Molecule: ribosomal RNA, 467 nt
Filed under: uncultured bacterium
Lineage: Bacteria
Description: partial 16S ribosomal RNA
Rfam family: Bacterial small subunit ribosomal RNA
Source: RNAcentral